UGAUGGCAGGACACGGACACACACUCGUACGCGACGAGAAGAAGGCCUCGGUCACGGCGUGUCGUCACCCCACCACCGGCGGUGGGUUUCCCUUUCGGCGGACGUGGGGGCCGGUCUCGCGGAAACACCACUCAACACAUACCUUGAUCCAUCCGCCUUGGCUGGUCACCAGGGUGUAGAGCAGGUGCAGGUCGACCUCCUUGCCGCCGAGGAUGGGCGGCCUCCUGAACGGCGUCCUGGAACAGAGCGUGAGAGCGGCUCCCGGAGCGGCCCUGCAACUUACCCGCGCGUCUCGUGGAAGUGGUGCAGGUCCCGGAGGAAGCCGUCGCGCUCCUUGGGGUACGUGGCCGCAUUCUUGUCGGGGAUUUUGGCCAUAGUGGCGCGUUUAGAGCGACGCACGUGUCAUUUUCGCGACGGCCCCGACGCCGAUUUCUGCACCUCCCGGGGUAGCUGCUGGCCAGGCAGUUGACGACUCCCUGCGCUAGCACGACGUUGCACUCACUCUGACCGUAUUAAUGCGCAGAACCAUCGCACCCGCGGCCGCACAACGCUCCACCGUCGACAACGUUCAAAGAUGCACCGAAUAUAAACAACUCUCAACGUUCUGCAUUACCGAAAAAUGAUUUUUUCGCCACUAUAUCGCCUCCAAAUUAUGCACCGUGCUAACCCAUGAUGCUUGACAAGACUAUUACCAACAUGGCGGCCGGUUCCCCGUUAUUGUAAGGCGCGAAGGAAGGUUUUGCCCGCGACGUACGACACCGGAACAGCCCCCUGCAAAGCUGCCCCAAGACGUCGACCCUCGCCCGCAACACGGACGACCUUUUACUCGACCCGCCGCCACUCAAACACCGACACUUUAUUAUAAAAAAUCACAAAGUUUUGACAACACAAAAUAUUAGUUCAAAUGCCAAUUUUCCGACGCAGCGCCAUCUACAAUCGCUAACACUCGCCCGGUAAAGCGACGAUCUACACCCCAAUGCGCCCUCUAUCUCAACCAAAACAACGUCAAUUUCACAAAAAUAUCAAUUUUACCCCGAAAUGAAGAAAACAACAAGUUUCACGGCUCACAAAAAAUAAACAACAUCGCAGAAACGUCCACCUUCAUGCCACAACCCAUGCCCCAAAUUACCAUUUAAAACACCCAUAAUUUAAUCACGACAACUCAAAAUUCGACAAAAUGCCCAAAUUUCGACGAACCUCGAGGGGGUUAAAACGAUUAAUGCCCACAAAAACUCACAAAGAAGUGGACCCAAGGCAACUCAAUUUUGUCCAAAGAGACAAGGAAAAUAAUCACAAAUCUGCCUCAGAGACUGCUGUUAAUGACCCCUUACUCUCGUUUAUGAAAAUUGAAGUCAAAGAAGAGGAGCUGGAUUCUAACCAGGAAUUAGAUUUUGGGCAGGACAUUAACAUACCUCUAAAAAUUGAGCAAUUUGAGACUCUGGAAAUAGACAGUAUUAAACAAGAAGAGUCUGUUGAGCCUGAAAGUGAUGCGUUUGUAGGAACAAAUAAUAACGACUUAAAUAUGUUAAUAGAAUGGGCGCUAAACUUGCAAUUUGACCAUUCUAAAAAAUGCACUGGACGUCUCUACCCUUGUAAAACCAUCUUUGAUCAGUUAAGUUGUAAGAUAAUUGUAUUGUAUUGCACAGUUUGUAAAAAACGAAUGUUACACACACUCAAAGAUUGGGCAAUGUUAUAAUAUUAACAAAUAAAGUUAUGUGAUUA
This is an RNA transcript of Tribolium castaneum (red flour beetle), 1722 nucleotides long. RefSeq lists it as uncharacterized. The record is from RefSeq and is a predicted model, not a curated record. NCBI's taxonomy places the organism in Eukaryota, Metazoa, Arthropoda, Insecta, Coleoptera, Tenebrionidae. The transcript is spliced from 5 exons.